Molecule: ribosomal RNA, 253 nt
Filed under: uncultured bacterium
Lineage: Bacteria
Description: partial 16S ribosomal RNA
Rfam family: Bacterial small subunit ribosomal RNA
Source: RNAcentral
UACAGAGGUCUCAAGCGUUGUUCGGAUUCAUUGGGCGUAAAGGGUGCGUAGGUGGCGCUGUAAGUCAGGUGUGAAAUUUCGGAGCUUAACUCCGAAACUGCAUUUGAUACUGCGGUGCUUGAGGACUGGAGAGGAGACUGGAAUUUACGGUGUAGCAGUGAAAUGCGUAGAGAUCGUAAGGAAGACCAGUGGCGAAGGCGGGUCUCUGGACAGUUCCUGACACUGAGGCACGAAGGCCAGGGGAGCAAACAGG